This 253-nucleotide ribosomal RNA is filed under the name uncultured bacterium. Its description in RNAcentral is "partial 16S ribosomal RNA". It matches the Rfam family "Bacterial small subunit ribosomal RNA", at positions 524 to 776 of the family's 1533-position model. The record is from RNAcentral.
UACGUAGGGGGCAAGCGUUGUCCGGAAUCAUUGGGCGUAAGGCGCGUGUAGGCGGCCAGGUAAGUCCGUUCUGAAAGCCCGGGGCUCAACCCCGGGAGGCGGAUGGAUACUGCUUGGCUCGAGUCCGGAAGAGGCGAGUGGAAUUCCCGGUGUAGCGGUGAAAUGCGCAGAUAUCGGGAGGAACACCAAUGGCGAAGGCAGCUCGCUGGGACGGUACUGACGCUGAGACGCGAAAGCGUGGGGAGCGAACAGG